AGGCAUCAGGCUUCCGGCAUUUUUUUUUCCGGUAUACGUAAAUUUGUAUGCAUAUAAAUAGUAAAUACGAAAACCUUCACUGUAGAAAGAAAUAAUAAAGAAACUACAUGAUAACUGUGAUCAAUAAAAAACUAGUAACAAUUCAACUACUGAACCACAAUACCUACGUGGACUGGAAUCGAACCCAAAACUGUUUUUCCCGAGAAUAUGUUUAACAGCAACGUCUUUACGUAAUGUCUACAAUCUUAUGACAUGUAUCUAUGUCUAUAAAUUCAUGAGCAGGCAUCGCCACGCCGCAAAUUUUUUGAGCAAGUCUAUUUAUGAACAUUGGCAUCACUUAUUGUAAAACAACGUACUUGAAGGAAGGGAACACAUAUCAAAUAAUACAUUAACAUUUUUUUUAAUUAUAAUAAUUAUGCUAACACUUUUUUUUUUAUAAAAGAACACAAAUAAAUCAAUAAUGCUUGGUAUAAAAC
Manduca sexta (tobacco hornworm) is the source of this 476-nucleotide long non-coding RNA. RefSeq lists it as uncharacterized. Lineage: Eukaryota; Metazoa; Arthropoda; Insecta; Lepidoptera; Sphingidae. The transcript has 3 exons. The record is from RefSeq and is a predicted model, not a curated record.